AACCUGGUUGAUCCUGCCAGUAGUCAUACGCUAACAUUAAAGAUUAAGCCAUGCAUGUACGAGUAUACAAUUACCAUUUUAAACUGCGUAAAGCUCAUUAUAUCAGUUCUAACAUCUUAGGAAUACAAAAAAGAUGGAUAUUAGUGCUAAUUCUACAAUCAAUACAUUUAUAACGUCUAAUUUUUUAGACUAAAUUACUGAGUAUCAAAAGUACGACUAUCUGAAUUCUUAAUAUUUACUGGUUACACUACAGAGUGAUAGUUCUAUUUAGUGACUGACCCAUCAGUUGUUCUAUUAUGUAGUGAAUUAUUGAGGCUGAAACGGGUAGCGGAGAAUUAGGGUUCCGUUCCGGAGAAAGAGCCUGCGAAACGGCUACUACAUCUAAGGAAGGCAGCAGGCGNGUAAAUUAUUCAAUUCUAAAUCAGAGAGUUAGUAACAAUAUAUUACGAUGUUAAACCUUAGGGUUAAAUUAUUAUAUUGAGGAUAGAUUAUUUAUUUAUACGAUUGACUAUAGGAGGGCAAGUCUGGUGCCAGCAGCCGCGGUAAUACCAGCUCCAAUAGUGUAUGCUAACGUUGUUGCAGUUACAAAGCUCGUAGUUGGUCUAUUAUGARUUUUAUUUAUAUAUAGUAUAAUUGUACUAUUAUUGACAAUGCCUAAAUCUUACUUAGAACAUGUACUAUGUUGAAAYUUACUUUUCGACAUUUCCUCAUGUUUGUUAUUACUUUGAAAAAAUUAUGUUGAUUUAAGAGAAGAAAUGAUAUUGUACUAUAGUACAGAAUAAUACUUGAAGAUCUCAGUAAAACUUAAACUUUUGGAUACUGGUGUARUGCUCUUUAGAGUUAGCUGAAGAUAUUAAUAUUUUAGCGWUAGAGGUGAAAUUCAAGAAUCGUUAUAAGAUUAACAAGUGCCAAAGCAAUUAUCUAAGAUUAAUUCAUUGAUCAAGAACGUAAGUUGAAGGAUUGAAGACGAUCAGAUACCGUCGUAAUCUCAAUUGUAAACUAUAUCAACUAGGGAUUAACAACUGUUUUUUAUGACAUUGUUGGCACCUUGUGAGAAAUUAGAGUUCUCAGAUUCCGGGGGGAGUAUGGUUGCAAGUCUGAAACUUAAAGGAAUUGACGGAAGGGCACCACAAGUUGUGGAUACUGUGGCUUAAUUUGACUCAACACUGGAAAACUUACCAGGUCCAGACAUAUUUAGGAUUGACAGAUUAAUAGCCCUGUCCUGAUUUUGUGGCUGGUGGUGCAUGGCCGUUCUUAGUUGGUGAAGUGAUUUGUCUGGUUUAUUCCGUUAACGAACGAGACUAUUACCAAUAAAUAGUAAGYACUGCAUUAGCAGUGUGAUUACUUCUUAGAGGGACUGGUGAUACAUAAGUUACUGGAGGCAAGUUGCAAUGACAGGUCUGUGAUGCCCUUAGAUGUACUGGGCCGCGCACGGGAUACAACAGGGGAGAUAAUAUGUACAUUUAAACAUAAUUUGACAAUAAUAUUGUAACCGYGAAUCUGUCUUUAAUAUGGAAUUGCACUAUGCAAUUUUACACAUAAACUAGGAAUAUCUUGUAAGUACAUGUCAUAAUCGUGUUCUGAAUGCGUCCCUGUCCUUUGUACACACCGCCCGUCGCUCCUACCGAUUGGAUGAGAUGGUGAGUAAAUCUUAAUGAUUGAAGUUAUACUGUAAAGUUGAAKGUCAGUUAUAUAUAUUUGCAAACUAAACUAUUUAGAGGAAGGAGAAGUCGUAACAAGGUUUCCGUAGGUGAACCUGCAGAAGGAUCA
Molecule: ribosomal RNA, 1770 nt
Filed under: Thalassicolla nucleata
Lineage: Eukaryota; Polycystinea; Collodaria; Thalassicollidae
Description: SSU rRNA
Rfam family: Eukaryotic small subunit ribosomal RNA
Source: RNAcentral